GACGAACGCUGGCGGCGUGCUUAACACAUGCAAGUCGAACGGAAAGGCCCUGCUUGCAGGGUACUCGAGUGGCGAACGGGUGAGUAACACGUGGGUGAUCUGCCCUGCACUUCGGGAUAAGCCUGGGAAACUGGGUCUAAUACCGGAUAGGAGCCAUUUUUAGUGUGAUGGUUGGAAAGUUUUUUUCGGUGUAGGUUGAGCUCGCGGCCUAUCAGCUUGUUGGUGGGGUAAUGGCCUACCAAGGCGGCUACGGGUAGCCGGCCUGAGAGGGUGGACGGCCACCUUGGGACUGAGAUACGGCCCAGACUCCUACGGGAGGCAGAAGUGGGGAAUAUUGCACAAUGGGCGCAAGCCGGAUGAAGCGACGCCGCGUGGGGGAUGACGGCCUUCGGGUUGUAAACUCCUUUCGCUAGGGACGAAGCUUUUUGUGACGGUACCUAGAUAAGAAGCACCGGCUAACUACGUG
This 466-nucleotide ribosomal RNA is filed under the name uncultured bacterium. RNAcentral describes it as "partial 16S ribosomal RNA". It matches the Rfam family "Bacterial small subunit ribosomal RNA", at positions 28 to 507 of the family's 1533-position model. The record is from RNAcentral.